CACCCAAUCUACCAAUCACGGGUCAAUCCCAACUGUCAAUCAUGACGUUUCACCGCAUUUUUAUAGCAUCACUUAACUAAUAAAAACCCAAAUUAUCAGAAAAAUUCACACUUAAACAACAAACAUCGUGAUCAGAACUACCUAAAGUGACCAAAAACAUCUUUAGUAACGUUGUAUUUGACGUGUACUUAAAUUCUUUUCAGUUUGGUCCAUAUCCCAUUGACUAACAUGGAGGGGGCGGUGUUUAUGAUCUAUACUGCAGCCAGCCACGAGGGGGCGAUCCAGAUUUUUUUUGGCUUCACUUAUAAAGUCAAUGCAUCAACCCCUGAUUUGGAUACACUUGUUAAACCAC
Long non-coding RNA from Etheostoma spectabile (orangethroat darter), 352 nucleotides. RefSeq lists it as uncharacterized. The transcript is spliced from 4 exons. NCBI's taxonomy places the organism in Eukaryota, Metazoa, Chordata, Actinopteri, Perciformes, Percidae. The record is from RefSeq and is a predicted model, not a curated record.